This is a long non-coding RNA of Neodiprion virginianus, 296 nucleotides long. RefSeq lists it as uncharacterized. The record is from RefSeq and is a predicted model, not a curated record. NCBI's taxonomy places the organism in Eukaryota, Metazoa, Arthropoda, Insecta, Hymenoptera, Diprionidae. The transcript is spliced from 3 exons.
ACUAGUUUCCUGAUUGGUUGAAGGUUCAGGCUCCUGGAACAACCGAGCCGAACUCUUGUUCGAGGUCUGGAAAGAUUCAGUUGCUAUAGCUCACCUCUCCUGUUCUCAAACUUAAAGUUACUCGACAUCUUGAGUGACGAGCAGCAGCAUCUUACAUCUAUAGACUCCGGAGUUUCAUCACGAUUCUACAUAUAGACGCCCUCUAGGGUAACCGCCUCAUCGCAUCUUGGCGAGGGAUCAACUUGUCUGGAUAUCAAAGGAAAACUACGAACACCUACCCAGUGGUGUGUGGAAAG